AUAACCCUACGGGGGGCAGCAGUGGGGAAUAUUGGGCAAUGGGCGCAAGCCUGACCCAGCAACGCCGCGUGAAGGAAGAAGGCUUUCGGGUUGUAAACUUCUUUUGUCAGGGACGAAGCAAGUGACGGUACCUGACGAAUAAGCCACGGCUAACUACGUGCCAGCAGCCGCGGUAAUACGUAGGUGGCAAGCGUUAUCCGGCUUUAUUGGGUGUAAAGGGCGUGUAGGCGGGAAUGCCAGUCAGAUGUGACAACUAUGGGCUCCACCCCUACCCUUCAUUUGAAA
RNAcentral lists this ribosomal RNA (285 nucleotides) under uncultured bacterium. Its description in RNAcentral is "partial 16S ribosomal RNA". It matches the Rfam family "Bacterial small subunit ribosomal RNA", at positions 333 to 632 of the family's 1533-position model. The record is from RNAcentral.